AUGGAUCUUGUGCGCGUGAAGCUCCUUCUUCCUCCAGCACAAGAACGUACAAGAAGCAUCCAAGGACAGACCCGGCGGAAAACCCAUGGUGCCAUCUGCAGGACAAAUUGGCGUGCUAAUCUAUCGAGCUUUCCUUCUGAUUUCAUGGAGAACCUGGUGUGCUAUAUGGGGAAGCAAAGCAGCAGCCCACAACUCCGACUUGCGACUCCAGAUGAAGGGACCACGACGCACCAUGCUGCUCCCUUGGAAGGUCGGCUGAGCGAUGCGGCGGCGAAAGCAGUGAACGAGCUGCUGCCGUCGGGCGCCGCCGGCAACCUGAGCAGCCUCUGCUCCUGGGCCGACAAGGUCAGGUUCAGAUAA
Molecule: ribosomal RNA, 360 nt
Filed under: Triticum aestivum (bread wheat)
Lineage: Eukaryota; Viridiplantae; Streptophyta; Magnoliopsida; Poales; Poaceae
Description: partial small subunit ribosomal RNA
Source: RNAcentral